This 481-nucleotide ribosomal RNA is filed under the name uncultured bacterium. RNAcentral's name for it is "partial 16S ribosomal RNA". It matches the Rfam family "Bacterial small subunit ribosomal RNA", at positions 28 to 506 of the family's 1533-position model. The record is from RNAcentral.
GACGAACGCUGGCGGCGUGCUUAACACAUGCAAGUCGAACGCUGAAGCCCAGCUUGCUGGGUGGCUGAGUGGCGAACGGGUGAGUAACACGUGAGUAACCUGCCCUCUUCUUUGGGAUAACGCCCGGUAACGGGUGCUAAUACUGGACAUUCACUGAUUCUCGCAUGGGGGUUGGUGGAAAGGUUUUUUCUGGUGGUGGAUGGGCUCGCGGCCUAUCAGCGUGUUGGUGGGGUGAUGGCCUAGCAAGGGUUUGACGGGUAGCCGGCGUGAGAGGGUGACCGGUCACAUAGGGACUGAGAUACGGCCCAGACUGAGACGGGAGGCAGCAGUGGGGGAGAGUGAGCAAUGGGCGAAAGCCUGAUGCAGCGACGAGGCGUGAGGGAUGGAGGCGUUCGGGUUGUAAACCUCUUUCGCUCAUGGUCAAGCCGCAGCUUGGGGUUGUGGUGAGGGUAGUGGGUAAAGAAGCGCCGGCUAACUACGU